AGAGUUUGAUCCUGGCUCAGGAUGAACGCUAGCGGCAGGCUCAACACAUGCAAGUCGAGGGGUAUAUGUCUUCGGAUAUAGAGACCGGCGCACGGGUGCGUAACGCGUAUGCAAUCUACCUUUUACAGAGGGAUAGCCCAGAGAAAUUUGGAUUAAUACCUCAUAGCAUAGCAGCUUCGCAUGAAGCAGCUAUUAAAGUCACAACGGUAAAAGAUGAGCAUGCGUCCCAUUAGCUAGUUGGUAAGGUAACGGCUUACCAAGGCUACGAUGGGUAGGGGUCCUGAGAGGGAGAUCCCCCACACUGCUACUGAGACACGGACCAGACUCCUACGGGAGGCAGCAGUGAGGAAUAUUGGACAAUGGGCGCAAGCCUGAUCCAGCCAUGCCGCGUGCAGGAUGACGGUCCUAUGGAUUGUAAACUGCUUUUGUACGAGAAGAAACACUCCUACGUGUAGGAGCUUGACGGUAUCGUAAGAAUAAGGAUCGGCUAACUCCGUGCCAGCAGCCGCGGUAAUACGGAGGAUCCAAGCGUUAUCCGGAAUCAUUGGGUUUAAAGGGUCCGUAGGCGGUUUAGUAAGUCAGUGGUGAAAGCCCAUCGCUCAACGGUGGAACGGCCAUUGAUACUGCUAAACUUGAAUUAUUAGGAAGUAACUAGAAUAUGUAGUGUAGCGGUGAAAUGCUUAGAGAUUACAUGGAAUACCAAUUGCGAAGGCAGGUUACUACUAAUGGAUUGACGCUGAUGGACGAAAGCGUGGGUAGCGAACAGGAUUAGAUACCCUGGUAGUCCACGCCGUAAACGA
Molecule: ribosomal RNA, 800 nt
Filed under: uncultured bacterium
Lineage: Bacteria
Description: bacterial SSU rRNA
Rfam family: Bacterial small subunit ribosomal RNA
Source: RNAcentral